GAUGAACGCUGGCGGCGUGCCUAAUACAUGCAAGUCGAGCGAACGGACGAGAAGCUUGCUUCUCUGAUGUUAGCGGCGGACGGGUGAGUAACACGUGGAUAACCUACCUAUAAGACUGGGAUAACUUCGGGAAACCGGAGCUAAUACCGGAUAAUAUUUUGAACCGCAUGGUUCAAAAGUGAAAGACGGUCUUGCUGUCACUUAUAGAUGGAUCCGCGCUGCAUUAGCUAGUUGGUAAGGUAACGGCUUACCAAGGCAACGAUGCAUAGCCGACCUGAGAGGGGGAGGGGCCAGCGGGGCACUGAGACACGGUCCAGACUCCUACGGGAGGCAGCAGUAGGGAAUCUUCGGCAAUGGGCGAAAGCCUGACGGAGCAACGCCGCGUGAGUGAUGAAGGUCUUCGGAUCGUAAAACUCUGUUAUUAGGGAAGAACAUAUGUGUAAGUAACUGUGCACAUCUUGACGGUACCUAAUCAGAAAGCCACGGCUAACUACGUG
RNAcentral lists this ribosomal RNA (497 nucleotides) under uncultured bacterium. Its description in RNAcentral is "partial 16S ribosomal RNA". It matches the Rfam family "Bacterial small subunit ribosomal RNA", at positions 28 to 507 of the family's 1533-position model. The record is from RNAcentral.